CCUACGGGUGGCAGCAGUGAGGAAUAUUGGUCAAUGGGCGGGAGCCUGAACCAGCCAAGUCGCGUGAGGGAAGACGGUCCUACGGAUUGUAAACCUCUUUUGUCGGGGAGCAACGCCGUCUUCGUGUGGGCGCGAUGAGAGUACCCGGAGAAAAAGCAUCGGCUAACUCCGUGCCAGCAGCCGCGGUAAUACGGAGGAUGCGAGCGUUAUCCGGAUUUAUUGGGUUUAAAGGGUGCGUAGGCGGACUGCUAAGUCAGCGGUCAAAUGUCGGGGCUCAACCUCGCCCCGCCGUUGAAACUGGCGGCCUCGAGUGGGCGAGAAGUAUGCGGAAUGCGUGGUGUAGCGGUGAAAUGCAUAGAUAUCACGCAGAACUCCGAUUGCGAAGGCAGCAUACCGGCGCCCGACUGACGCUGAGGCACGAAAGCGUGGGUAUCGAACAGGAUUAGAUACCCGUGUAGUC
RNAcentral lists this ribosomal RNA (460 nucleotides) under uncultured bacterium. RNAcentral's name for it is "partial 16S ribosomal RNA". It matches the Rfam family "Bacterial small subunit ribosomal RNA", at positions 338 to 795 of the family's 1533-position model. The record is from RNAcentral.